GGAGACUUAGCUCAGCUGGGAGAGCGCACCCUUCACAGGGGUGAUGUCGCAGGUUCGAGCCCUGUAGUCUCCA
This 73-nucleotide transfer RNA is filed under the name Solobacterium sp. Its description in RNAcentral is "tRNA-Val". It matches the Rfam family "tRNA". Rfam says of the family: Transfer RNA (tRNA) molecules are approximately 80 nucleotides in length. Their secondary structure includes four short double-helical elements and three loops (D, anti-codon, and T loops). RNAcentral also lists the same sequence under 1 other name. Lineage: Bacteria; Bacillati; Bacillota; Erysipelotrichia; Erysipelotrichales; Erysipelotrichaceae. The record is from RNAcentral.